CUUGGGGGAGGCGGAGGCGGCGGCCGUCCAGGCGUCGGGGGCCGCGCUGGUGCUCCGCCGCCGCCGCCUGAAGUGGACAUCGGUGGGGAAGGGCUCGCCAAACUCAUUCACCCGGCUCGAAGAAGCGUACCAACAAUCGAAGAAUCCCCUGUGUGACACUUUCCUUAGUGGUUGUUUUCUUCUACAUUUCUCAGAUAGAAGGUUCUUAAAGCAACUUUUGUUUAGGGUUAUUUUUAUGUUAUGCAGUUUUCAGGCACCCUGAAGGAAAAGAAAGAUUAUUUCCUUAUCAUAGUUUAUUUCGGUUUGGUUUAAAAUUUGGAAGUUUUCUAUAAAAAUUUAAGACAUCCUUUGGAGCUAAGUGUAAUUAAGCAUUGUCUUUUACCCUCCCUCAAACUAAACCCCAAAACCUUGGGUUCGGGUUGGUUUGUGGGGUUUUUUGUUCAAAACGGGGAAAGAUGCAAUGAAAUUUAAAGCCUGUAGACAAGGCAAAAGAAGAUAGAUGGUUGGAAGUUUGGAUUUGCACUUCCGUAAAAAAUUUUAAAGUUCUGUACUUUCUUCCCUCAACUUUGUCACAGCAGAGCACGGGGCAGGAAUCUCCACGCUGGUGGAGCCCCAACUUAGCACACCGUUUGGGCAAGCUGUAAUGGCACAUAACCUCCCAGCCUGGCAUUAUACCCACACGUAUAAACCAUAUUUAAUUUAAGUCUCGGAUGCUUACAUUAAGAUAACUCACCCAUAUUGGCUUUGGGGACUUGGCAAAGCUGCGAUGCUUCCAGGCUUGAGUUGCCUCGUGAUCAGUCACCUCCGACAACGGUGUUGGGUCUUCUCACUGUGUCCAGCCUUAGGGCUGGCGUGAGCCCAGCCACGGCUGCCUGACGGUCCCCCAGUUCUGGGCAGCAGAGGUGUCUCCCUCCUUCCAUCAUGGGUGCGUAGGAGCAGUGAUGUGCCCAUUCUGGUAGGUAUCAUCUAUUGCCGGGAACAGCUCUUCCCAAAAGCCAAACGUGGUUGAAUCUCCAUGCACUUACCUGUUUAUAACCUGGAACAGAUUCAUUUUAAUGCUGCAAAGGGCCUGCACGGUGAUAUCUUUCUAUCCUUGCAGCUAAUUGCUUACUCAUGCAUAUACAUUAAGAAAGAACUCCUCAGAAGAGGAGAAAGACCAAACUAUUCUAAAAUAACUUCAGUCUGCUGGAGCUGCCACGUAAAACCCUGGCUUGCAUGGCCUUUCCUGGCUCAGCAUGAAAGAACGUGGCAUCCCCACCCUUCCCACACUGAACUGUGUCCUGACUGAGUCAGAAAAGCCACUGAGGUCCUUGGACUGCUGGAUGAACAAAAAGAAGAAUCUCACAACAUCAUCGAAUGGCAGCCCAGGCUUCCCUCCAGGCAUGUUUCCUUGCUCUGACUCUUUCCUUCAGGCUUUCCCUGUCUCAUUGUCAAAUAAAUGACUUAACUCGUA
Tyto alba (common barn owl) is the source of this 1453-nucleotide long non-coding RNA. RefSeq lists it as uncharacterized. The transcript is spliced from 2 exons. The record is from RefSeq and is a predicted model, not a curated record. NCBI's taxonomy places the organism in Eukaryota, Metazoa, Chordata, Aves, Strigiformes, Tytonidae.